This 877-nucleotide ribosomal RNA is filed under the name Paracladophialophora cyperacearum. Its description in RNAcentral is "eukaryotic LSU rRNA". It matches the Rfam family "Eukaryotic large subunit ribosomal RNA", at positions 38 to 938 of the family's 3401-position model. Lineage: Eukaryota; Fungi; Ascomycota; Eurotiomycetes. The record is from RNAcentral.
GCAUAUCAAUAAGCGGAGGAAAAGAAACCAACAGGGAUUGCCUCAGUAACGGCGAGUGAAGCGGCAAAAGCUCAAAUUUGAAAUCUGGCUCUACGAGUCCGAGUUGUAAUUUGUAGAGGAUGUUUCGGGUACCGCUACGGCUUAAAUUUCUUGGAACAGAAUGUCAGAGAGGGUGAGAGUCCCGUCUGGAGCCACGGUAGGGCCUAUGUGAAACUCCUUCGACGAGUCGAGUUGUUUGGGAAUGCAGCUCUAAAUGGGUGGUAAAUUUCAUCUAAAGCUAAAUAUUGGCCAGAGACCGAUAGCGCACAAGUAGAGUGAUCGAAAGAUGAAAAGCACUUUGAAAAGAGAGUUAAACAGUAUGUGAAAUUGUUGAAAGGGAAGCGCUGGCAAUCAGACUUGCGUGUCGGGGUUCCCCCUGGCUUCUGCCUGGGUUACUCCCCGAUAUCCAGGCCAACAUCGGUUUCGGUGGUCACUUAAAGGCCUUGGGAAUGUAUCUUCCUCCGGGAAGACUUAUAGCCCAGGGUGUCAUGCGGCCUACCGGGACCGAGGAACGCGCUUCGGCUCGGAUGUUGGCGUAAUGGUUGUCAGCGACCCGUCUUGAAACACGGACCAAGGAGUCUAACAUCUAUGCGAGUGUUAGGGUGUCAAACCCUUACGCGGAAUGAAAGUGAACGGAGGUAAGAAGCUUCGGCUGCAUUAUCGACCGAUCCUGAAGUUUACGGAUGGAUUUGAGUAAGAGCAUAGCUGUUGGGACCCGAAAGAUGGUGAACUAUGCCUAAACAAGCUGAAGCCAGAGGAAACUCUGGUGGAGGGCUGCAGCGGUUCUGACGUGCAAAUCGAUCGUCAAAUUUGGGUAUAGGGGCGAAAGACUAAUCGA